This 439-nucleotide ribosomal RNA is filed under the name uncultured bacterium. RNAcentral describes it as "partial 16S ribosomal RNA". It matches the Rfam family "Bacterial small subunit ribosomal RNA", at positions 339 to 795 of the family's 1533-position model. The record is from RNAcentral.
CUACGGGGUGCAGCAGUGAGGAAUAUUGCACAAUGGGGGGAACCCUGAUGCAGCAACGCCGCGUGGAGGAUGACGCAUUUCGGUGUGUAAACUCCUUUUAUAUGUCAAGAAAAUGACGGUAGCAUAUGAAUAAGCACCGGCUAACUCCGUGCCAGCAGCCGCGGUAAUACGGAGGGUGCAAGCGUUACUCGGAAUCACUGGGCGUAAAGGACGCGUAGGCGGGUUGGAAAGUCAGGUGUGAAAUCCUACAGCUUAACUGUAGAACUGCACUUGAAACUUCUAAUCUAGAGUAUGGGAGGGGGAGAUGGAAUUAGUGGUGUAGGGAUAAAAUCCGUAGAUAUCACUAGGAAUACCUGAGGCGAAGGCGAUCUCCUGGAACAUUACUGACGCUAAGGCGUGAAAGCGUGGGGAGCAAACAGGAUUAAAUACCCGUGUAGUC